RNAcentral lists this transfer RNA (74 nucleotides) under Anolis monticola. RNAcentral's name for it is "tRNA-Trp". The record is from RNAcentral. Lineage: Eukaryota; Metazoa; Chordata; Lepidosauria; Squamata; Anolidae.
AGAACCUUAGGAUUAUAAUUUAAACCAAGAGCCUUCAAAGCUCAAAAUAUGGGCGAAAUCCCCCAUAGUUUCUG